Molecule: ribosomal RNA, 253 nt
Filed under: uncultured bacterium
Lineage: Bacteria
Description: partial 16S ribosomal RNA
Rfam family: Bacterial small subunit ribosomal RNA
Source: RNAcentral
GACAUAGGUGGCAAACGUUAUCCGGAAUUACUGGGCGUAAAGCGCACGUAGGCGGCUUUGUAAGUUAGAGGUGAAAGCCUGGAGCUCAACUCCAGAAUUGCCUUUAAGACUGCAUCGCUUGAAUCCAGGAGAGGUGAGUGGAAUUCCGAGUGUAGAGGUGAAAUUCGUAGAUAUUCGGAAGAACACCAGUGGCGAAGGCGGCUCACUGGACUGGUAUUGACGCUGAGGUGCGAAAGCGUGGGGAGCAAACAGG